CGAACUGGUAAGUUAGUUCUCUCUCUGCUUUUAAGAAAAGAUGUUAUAAAAGUCUAUUACUACUCGGCAUACAAAUACUAUCUUUGGUUUGUCAAAGUCUGCGCCACCCUACAUAUCCCUGACGCGCGUUUCGCUUAUUAGCUCAUCAGAAGGAAACCGGGGUCCUGUACCUCCCGGUCUUUUAAAGGUCAUACUCUAUUCCUAUUGGUAACCGUUAUUUUUGAAUUAACCAAUGCAAGAGAGGGUACUCGUCUGUUGUAAUUUGACGUAAUUAAUUGAAGACCGGGUUUGUUAACCCUUAAUGUAUAAGUCGCUGGACGAAACAGACAGUUAAUGUUUGAAAACUGUAUAAAUAAAUAAGUAAGGAAAAGAUCUAUUAUUGUAUUAUGCAGAAUUAUUAAAAAACUUCAAAAGAAGAUUGUUAUAGAUUGUAUUAUUUCUUAUAGUUAUUGUCUAUUUGGAAGUUUGUUAAUGAGUGCUUUACUUUUCUGGGUUCGUUGCUCGUGGCAGAGAAAGACUGAACUUCCUACGAUAUGUCAUCUGCUGUUAAUAUAAUAUUAGAAUUAUGAACUCUACAGUUUCAGUCCGACAUAUCUGAGGAUAAUACCUAUUUAAUCAGAAAUUUCAAGAUGACAUUACAUUGGGCUGAUUUAACUAUCACGUCCCCAGGUUCUUAUUAAACCCACAUUGUUCUUACCACUAUCUGACAAUUGUUAGUUUCCCAGAUUCUAUGUUACCCAACUCCCAAUGGGCAAAUAGUUUCUAACAGUUCCAUCAUACUUUCCCGUAGGUGACGGGCGAUAGAAUUUUUUAUAUAUCAGGAUUUCAAUCUCUAAAGAAAGCCUAAUGGACAGCUUAAUAACAAGUUAUUAGUCUGUCAGUUAUACUUGGACCGUCUCUAUUAUAUUAAUAAAUACAAAUAUUUAAAGUUCUUUCAUAAUAAUGAAGUCAUAAUUAGGAUUUAUUUAUAAAGAGAAUAGGGGCUGAGACGUGUUAAUAAUUUUCAACACGAACAGCUUUUGCAUUCAAGCCCCUGUAUUCGUUGUUUUCUUAUGCAAACUCUUAAAUGAUUGGGAUCAAUUGGUGAAAAGGACCAAUUUGUCUGUCUAGAUAGAAAUGCUUAAAGAAAUUAUUAAUAAGUCAAAACUUAAUAUUAGCAGCUACUAUCAAUUUAUCAAGGUCUCUACCCAUGGAUAAAAGGGGUAAAAUUGAACUCUUCAUUGAGACCCGUAGGGGUCAAUGUCUUAAAGGUAUGUAUCCACCUUGACUCUUGUUUUAAUAAUUUGAGAUUAAAGUUCCCCCAAUUUAGAUUUCUGUAGACAAUGACUUUGUAGGAUUUCACACACUAGAUCUUAUAGACACAAGUGGAAAAUCUUCCCUCUAGAGAAAUCAUCAUUUUAUUCACUUUUUGGUUAACUCAGCCAUUUAUAUUUAGGUGUGGUGAUUUUACACGUGUUUAUAAUAAGAGUGUGUGUAGUGCCCUUAUUAUUAUUAAGGGACUUUUUAAUUUUAAUUUAUUAAAAGUGACGUUUUAAUUUAUGUGUAUUUCACUGGUGUCAAUAUAUAUAGAACUGGAAUCUCCAACUUUUCUCUUUUUUCCUUUUGUUACUCACAUCAUUUUUAUAUGGUUUUGUUAUGCAGAAAGUAUAUUUUUAAAAAUUGUGAAAAUUGUUAACUUUUCUGGCCAGUAGAUAAUUGAGUUUAGUAUGUUUCUAAAACUCAAUUAUAUCACAGGCUCAGAGGAGGAGUCUGGUGUUGUAUAAAUUGAAUGUCCUUGCUUCCAUUAAACCAGUCUUGUUCCAGCAUUAAGCUUUGGCUCAUGUGUGGAUUAUUAUGCGAUACCGGCGAUAUUUUUUCCUGUGGAUUAUUGGCGAUAUUAUUUUAUGGGAAUAAGGGAAUACUAGACGGUUUUACCUAUUCAGACCGUCACACUCUCCCAGUCUCCACUCCUUCAAAAUAAUAAAAACCCACUUCUUCAUAAAAGCGUAUCACUUAAACUGUUAAUAGCGCCCGACUGAUUCCUCUUCUGCAACUGUCAUUAGUCUAAUACUAUCCUUACCUUUUGUGUCACUUUACCCCACUCCCUCUAGCAUGUAAUCUCAUUGAGCCGACCCCUUUGUUCCUGCGUGUCCAACUUGUCUGGUUACAACUACAUGUUUGUUCGUCCACCCACUGCGCUGCGGAAUUUGUUGGCGCUAUAUAAAUAAUAACAUAAUAAUAAAAACAAUCUGACAUGGUGUAAGUGGCACCUGACUGGUCACACACACAGUGUUCUCCUCUGCCUUUAGUUUCUGGUCAUACCUCCAAAUCUAAAAAAACAGAUGAGUAAAACCAUGUUUUAUUUUUUUGUUACAACUCUGAGAUUCAGACACUGCGGAUGCUCAAGCUGCCUCCUGCGAUAUCAUGUUAACAAUGUUUCUCAUUGAAGAUCAUUGUAGACAAAAAGUGCAUGUACUGCCAGCUUUGCUCCCUCUUUUAAAAUGGAGUUUAACUGAUCCCACAGCAGAUGUACCUCUAGUGACUGUCAGGAAUACAGCCACUAGAUGCUUAUUUAACACUGUAAGGUAAGCAUUUCCAUAUUUACUAUAUGGCAAUGUUUUACUUUGCAGGGCUAACAUUGAAUUGGUUUGGGUGCCUUAUUAGUCAUUUAAAGAAAGACUACAAACUGUAAUGGUUAUGGUGCCAGGGGUGCUCUGAUGCCCUCCAGUGUAAGCAAUCAUACUAUUUCCUAAAGGAUUUACAACCUAUCUGUGGUUCACUUGGCUCCAUUCAUCUUCUCCUUGAGAGCAGGAGCUGUUAUCAUUGACCUACGGCAGGAUUUAAUUCAGGAGAUCUAACAAGUCUCCAUGCUUCUAUCUAUCAAAGUGCCAGCUGAUGUCACGUAAGCAAACAGCUUGACUAUUUACACUUGGAGGCAUCAGGACACUCAUGACACCAUAACCGCUACAGAUCCCAUAGAGGGUGAUUUUUAAUGUUUAUUAUACCUAUGAAGGUAAUAUAACUAAUAGCCCCUUUAAGCAUAGCAAGCAAGGCUUCUCUGUUUUGCCCUCAUGUUAUGUAUCAUUUGUACAUGUAUUUGAGAAUGUUGGCUUCCACAUAAUUAUUUAUUUUUGUGUUGCAGGAUUGUGCACUAGAGCUCAGUGAUGAAGAUGGACAACGUUGCUAUCCACUAGAAGACCGAUUACUUUGUCAUAAUUGCCACAUGAAACACCUUGAAAAAGACAGCUUGUUAUAAUUCAAACUCAAUAAUAGUUAUGUUUUGAAUCAUAUUACAUAUUUUAAUCUAUUCAAUACCCAUGUUCAGUUUAAACAUAAGCAUUACUUUAUUUUAACAAAGUAAUAUACAAUAUUGUUCCUUAAUAUAAUGUCUGUUGAUUAUCACAUUUCUGUUUAAAGUCCAUCACACCUGGAAAAGGAGUAACUCCCACAUAAAAUAAAGCAACAGCUUAAGACAGCCAUCAACAAACCUGCUUCUUCAUUUUGAUAAUGAGGCUCCUAAUAUGAUUGGUUUUAUUUCAGCAAGUCUGGACUGGCUUUUUUCUAAUACUUUUCAUUACCUAGGAAAAGAAAACUAUACAUUUAUUCACUAAUGUGUGCUUGUUUUCAUUUAGACUCCCCCCAGCCUCCCUAAAGAUCUUAUUUUUUUAAGCUUAGCUGCAGAGAAUCCAUAUGAUCUGGUGCAUUUUCUUAAGCUUCUGGUGCUUCAUGUGCCAAUGCUUUACUCUCUUACUUCAUAGACACUGACGUAUAUGGAGUAUCUUGCCAAACCUUGGAAGCCUGCAUAGACAAAGCCUUGCCCCAGCUGGCAAUAGUCAAGCUUUCUCAAAACAAAAAUACAUAGGAAGUAGUACCUGCAUUUUCUGAUACCUUUUGACAGCGCAUUUUGGUAAACAUUCCAAUACAGUCUGUAUGAGUAUUUCAUCAAUAUUUUAUCUUUACGAAAAGCACAUUUUUGAGGGGUGUGGGAAGGGUUGAGAGAGCUGCUUUAAG
RNAcentral lists this long non-coding RNA (3990 nucleotides) under Pelobates cultripes (western spadefoot toad). The record is from RNAcentral. Lineage: Eukaryota; Metazoa; Chordata; Amphibia; Anura; Pelobatidae.